This 511-nucleotide ribosomal RNA is filed under the name uncultured bacterium. RNAcentral's name for it is "bacterial SSU rRNA". It matches the Rfam family "Bacterial small subunit ribosomal RNA", at positions 8 to 526 of the family's 1533-position model. The record is from RNAcentral.
AGAGUUUGAUCAUGGCUCAGGACGAACGCUGGCGGCGUGCUUAACACAUGCAAGUCGAACGAUGAACUUGGAGCUUGCUCUGGGGGAUUAGUGGCGAACGGGUGAGUAACACGUGAGUAACCUGCCCUGGACUCUGGGAUAACCCCGAGAAAUCGGAGCUAAUACCGGAUAGGACCUGGAACCGCAUGGUUUUGGGUGGAAAGUUUUUUCGGUCUGGGAUGGACUCGCGGCCUAUCAGCUUGUUGGUGAGGUAAUGGCUCACCAAGGCGUCGACGGGUAGCCGGCCUGAGAGGGUGACCGGCCACACUGGGACUGAGACACGGCCCAGACUCCUACGGGGGGCAGCAGUGGGGAAUAUUGCACAAUGGGCGAAAGCCUGAUGCAGCAACGCCGCGUGAGGGAUGACGGCCUUCGGGUUGUAAACCUCUUUUAGUAGGGAAGAAGGGCUUCGGCUUGACGGUACCUGCAGAAAAAGCACCGGCUAACUACGUGCCAGCCGCCGCGGUAAUUC